CCUACGGGGUGCAGCAGUGGGGAAUAUUGGACAAUGGGCGAAAGCCUGAUCCAGCCAUGCCGCGUGUGUGAAGAAGGCCUUCGGGUUGUAAAGCACUUUCAGUGGGGAAGAAAGCCUUGGGGCUAAUACCCUCGAGGAAGGACAUCACCCACAGAAGAAGCACCGGCUAACUCCGUGCCAGCAGCCGCGGUAAUACGGAGGGUGCGAGCGUUAAUCGGAAUUACUGGGCGUAAAGCGCGCGUAGGCGGUCUGAUAAGCCGGUUGUGAAAGCCCCGGGCUCAACCUGGGAACGGCAUCCGGAACUGUCAGGCUAGAGUGCAGGAGAGGAAGGUAGAAUUCCCGGUGUAGCGGUGAAAUGCGUAGAAAUCGGGAGGAAUACCAGUGGCGAAGGCGGCCUUCUGGACUGACACUGACGCUGAGGUGCGAAAGCGUGGGUAGCAAACAGGAUUAGAUACCCCAGUAGUC
RNAcentral lists this ribosomal RNA (465 nucleotides) under Vreelandella stevensii. RNAcentral's name for it is "partial 16S ribosomal RNA". It matches the Rfam family "Bacterial small subunit ribosomal RNA", at positions 338 to 795 of the family's 1533-position model. The record is from RNAcentral. Lineage: Bacteria; Pseudomonadati; Pseudomonadota; Gammaproteobacteria; Oceanospirillales; Halomonadaceae.